GGUGGAGCAUGUGGUUUAAUUCGAUGCAACGCGAAGAACCUUACCAAGGCUUGACAUGAACUGGAAAUACCUGGAAACAGGUGCCCCGCUUGCGGUCGGUUUACAGGUGGUGCAUGGUUGUCGUCAGCUCGUGUCGUGAGAUGUUGGGUUAAGUCCCGCAACGAGCGCAACCCUCGUUCUAUGUUGCCAGCACGUUAUGGUGGGGACUCAUAGGAGACUGCCGGGGUCAACUCGGAGGAAGGUGAGGACGACGUCAAAUCAUCAUGCCCCUUAUGUCUUGGGCUUCACGCAUGCUACAAUGGCCGGUACAAUGGGUUGCGAUACUGUGAGGUGGAGCUAAUCCCAAAAAGCCGGUCUCAGUUCGGAUUGGGGUCUGCAACUCGACCCCANGAAGUCGGAGUCG
This 403-nucleotide ribosomal RNA is filed under the name Arthrobacter sp. AZTITEMP14. RNAcentral describes it as "bacterial SSU rRNA". It matches the Rfam family "Bacterial small subunit ribosomal RNA", at positions 931 to 1334 of the family's 1533-position model. The record is from RNAcentral. Lineage: Bacteria; Bacillati; Actinomycetota; Actinomycetes; Micrococcales; Micrococcaceae.